UGCGUAGGUGGCCCGGUAAGUCAGUGGUGAAAGUUUGCAGCUUAACUGUAAAAUUGCCAUUGAUACUGUCGGGCUUGAGUCUGGUGGAGGUAGGCGGAAUGUGUAGUGUAGCGGUGAAAUGCUUAGAUAUUACACAGAACACCGAUUGCGAAGGCAGCUUACUAUACCAGUACUGACACUGAUGCACGAAAGCGUGGGGAGCGAACAGGAUUAGAUACCCUGGUAGUCC
This 229-nucleotide ribosomal RNA is filed under the name uncultured bacterium. RNAcentral describes it as "partial 16S ribosomal RNA". It matches the Rfam family "Bacterial small subunit ribosomal RNA", at positions 568 to 796 of the family's 1533-position model. The record is from RNAcentral.